This 253-nucleotide ribosomal RNA is filed under the name uncultured bacterium. RNAcentral's name for it is "partial 16S ribosomal RNA". It matches the Rfam family "Bacterial small subunit ribosomal RNA", at positions 524 to 776 of the family's 1533-position model. The record is from RNAcentral.
UACGUAGGUGACAAGCGUUAUCCGGAAUUACUGGGCGUAAAGCGCACGCAGGCGGUGAGGUAAGUCUGAUGUGAAAUCUCCUGGCUUAACUGGGAGGGGUCAUUGGAAACUGCCGUACUUGAGGCGAUGAGAGGGGUGUAGAAUUCCCGGUGUAGUGGUGGAAUGCGUAGAUAUCGGGAGGAAUACCAGUGGCGAAAGCGACACCCUGGCAUUAGCCUGACGCUCAUGUGCGAAGGCGUGGGGAGCGAACGGG